This is a long non-coding RNA of Xenopus tropicalis (tropical clawed frog), 145 nucleotides long. RefSeq lists it as uncharacterized. Lineage: Eukaryota; Metazoa; Chordata; Amphibia; Anura; Pipidae. The record is from RefSeq and is a predicted model, not a curated record. The transcript has 2 exons.
UUGUAGGGUAAAGAGAAGCGUUAAACUAUUCAGUGAAAAUGAGAUUAUUGGUACCAGUUUUUUAUUUAUUGUUCGGGAUGUCCUAUGUGAAAUCACAGGUGCCGGUGCUGACUCCAUCCAUUCUGUAUGUUAACCAAGGACAAAC